GCUGCCCAUCUCCCUCCCUCCGCGCCGCACACUUGCACGCAUGCCCGCCUUCCUGGCGCCGCCCAUCUCCCUCCGCGCUGCGCGCUCGCAUGCGGCGUGCCGCCUCCGUCUACUCGGGCCUCUCUCUCCCGUCCUCCGCUCCUCUACCUCAGCUUCCGCUCCUACCCCAAGACAGUGCUCCCUCCUCUCGUUCAAGGCCGGCCAGUGCCUCAAUCCUGCCACUGUCCCCAAGAUCCAUCGUCGAAGAAGCCCGUGAACGUGGAUCUAUCCCCAAGUUCCGCGUCCAAAGGAGCCUGUGACAAGGAGGCCCAGCCGGAGAGCCGCGACGCUGAUCCAUGUCGGUGGAGAAUCUGCGGAGAGCCGGUGACAGAUCACAGGUUGUUCCUCCUGAUCUAGGUUUGGUUUAUGGGGGAAAUCGCCUGGAACCCUAGAGCUGCUUGAGGAAAGGAAGAUCACUAGAGACCGCACCACAUGGAAGAUCGAUGGGGCUGCAGAUGAGGAGGUGUUGCUACUGAAUUUAUCUGACCAUUUGUGAGUCUGUAAAUUUAUUUAAUAUAUACUGCUUUGUGUUUUGGUUCUGUACUGCAGAUUAUAACACUACUCAAUAACACUAUAUAGGUGAGCAGUUCUUCAUACAUUAAUUUCUGGAUGGAUUAUUCUCAGUUGAAUAUUUAUAAAUUAUUUUUCUAAUUAUAUUGUUGUUCAAUAUGUUGUGAGAAGGCUGAGAGUUCUUUUUGAGAUGUACAAAUAGAUACGUCAUACUCUUAAGGUUUUAAAUGUUUAGAAUGCACCUCUUAAGGUUUUAAAUGUUUAGAAUGCCAGAAAUUUUGCAAGACCAUUAUCAUGAGUUUCAGGAUGCAUCAUGAAUUUUUGUUGGUACAAUGUUUAAUGCAAGCUAAACAUGGGGUUGAAGAACCCUGCUGAUCCAUGUCUGCUAUUGCAAGUCUUCAAUUUUUGACGACGAAGGAUUUUGUGAUAAUGAGUGCUGGUCAUCUUUGUAUAAACUUAUUUUUACUCAAUCUAGUUUGGUGCAAGAUCUGUUGUAGGUCUAGUCAAAGUGUUAAACUAAAACUUCGUGCAGAUUUUUCCUAUCCUCAUUUACAAUAUAUCUAUUGUCUCUUGCAUGCAGUAUGACACUCAGCUUAAAAGGUAAGUGAGAAUGCUAUUCUCAAAAUGGAUUUUUAACCAAUGCGAUUCUCAUGCACUUAUAAUUACUUCCUGUUCUUGCAUAGCUACUGGACUGAAACUGAAUGUGUUUACCUAUAAUUACUGCAUGUUCUUGCAUAGCUACUGGACUAAAACUGAAUGUGUUUACCUAUUGGCUGCUGUUAGCAUCUGAAAAAUUACUACUACUACUACUACUACUACUACUACUACUACUACCCUCUACCAAUCUAACUAAUAUUUCUCCUCAUAUAUAGGGCACUGGUUCUUCUCAUGUUGGCUCAGAUUUUUCUUUCAGCUUGAAUAUUUUGAUGUCAAUGGUGUAAGUGUGUGCGUGUGGUAACCUGAGAGGCUAAUUUGGCUUAACCAUGUAAAGAAAAUUUCCAAGGAUUAAUACAUGAUCUGUGUAUUUUGAUGUCAAUGUGUAUCAAUUAUUUUGCUGAUGUAAUUAAGACUCACUUAUCCAAGGUUAUGACACUUCUUUGUAUUGUUCACUUAUACAGGUAGUGUAGCAAGUAGCGGCAUGUGCCUUUUCUCUUGAUUUGCCUUUUCUUUUACUGCCCAACAGUCAGGCAAGUUGCUAUUUAUUGUCAAUUUGAGGUAGACUACAAUUUUACAUAUAGUGCUGUGAAAGACUGGGCUGCUGGAAGAGAAGGAAAUGGUCCACUAGAUGAUGCUCUCCCAGAUCCAAAUUACUACGAGAUGUUGGGCUACUAGGACUCCGGCAAGGACGUUGGCACCUUCACAGCGGCAUGGCAGUAGUCUGCAAAACUCUAAAUCUAGAUUUCUCUACAGCCCUGGCACAGUGUAGUCUUUUUUCGCGACCCUAUUGUCCUAUUUGGAUGGAAUUGAGAUUGUGAAUCUUGUAUUAAAUGAGUGGAUCUUGUUUGAAAAAGUGUGGAUUUGUUUGCUAUUUUGCUGUAUAUAAAAUCAGUGAUCUAAAUUUUAUCUU
Molecule: long non-coding RNA, 2116 nt
Organism: Sorghum bicolor (sorghum)
Lineage: Eukaryota; Viridiplantae; Streptophyta; Magnoliopsida; Poales; Poaceae
Exons: 4
Source: RefSeq, a predicted model, not a curated record